GCCUGGCUGGCUCAGUCAGUAGAGCAUGUGACUCUUGAUCUUGGGCUUGUAGGUUCAAGCCCAUGUUGGGUA
This 72-nucleotide transfer RNA is filed under the name Ailuropoda melanoleuca (giant panda). It matches the Rfam family "tRNA". Rfam says of the family: Transfer RNA (tRNA) molecules are approximately 80 nucleotides in length. Their secondary structure includes four short double-helical elements and three loops (D, anti-codon, and T loops). Lineage: Eukaryota; Metazoa; Chordata; Mammalia; Carnivora; Ursidae. The record is from Rfam by way of RNAcentral.